This 250-nucleotide ribosomal RNA is filed under the name uncultured bacterium. RNAcentral's name for it is "partial 16S ribosomal RNA". It matches the Rfam family "Bacterial small subunit ribosomal RNA", at positions 524 to 773 of the family's 1533-position model. The record is from RNAcentral.
UACGGAGGGUGCGAGCGUUAAUCGGACUUACUGGGCGUAAAGGGUUCGUAGGCGGUUAGAUAAGUCGUAUGUGAAAUCCCUGGGCUCAACCUAGGAACUGCAUAUGAAACUAUUUGACUAGAGUAUAGUAGAGGAGAGGGGAAUUUCCGGUGUAGCGGUGAAAUGCGUAGAUAUCGGAAGGAACAUCAGUGGCGAAGGCGACUCUCUGGACUAAUACUGACGCUGAGGGACGAAAGCAUGGUUAGCAAAC